UAAUAAUAAUAAGAGGCUAUGCCUCUUUUUCUCUCAGAACCGAGAGAAGGAAAGAAGAGAAAGAAAAGAUGGGAAAUUUUCUCAUUCUUGCGAUCUACGAAGAUCUAACGGUCCGAUCUUCGAUCCGUCUUCGGAAACGUGAUCCUUGCACUUGGAUCUACGUUUCCACCGAUCGUUUUAAGGUAAUGGGUUACUUGGAACUUGCUUAAGACUACCCAAACCAUGGGUUUUGGUUUGGUGAAUUUUGGAUAGUGUCCGGAUUGGAGUCUUUAAUGGGUUCUCCAAUGUAGAGUUCGAGUCAUGGUCCAAUGCAGCCAAGAUGAUGUUCUUUUGGCUGCAGGUAUUCCGGUCGUAGUUGAUAGCAUUGUAGAAGGGUAAUUUGGAUGUUAUGACUGAAGCACGCCGCAACGGUCGUAAUUGGUGGACCACGGGUUGUCCACUUAUUUAUAGGUUUGGGUUAUGGCUUGUGACGUUUGUGUCACUUGUUAUUGUACAAAACCAUUUAUGUCACUUAUUUAAUUCGUGGAAAGAUUUAAUCAUAUAGAUAUUUAAUGGCUCUUUGUUGUAAUUAUUUGUGAUAGAUGUAUAAGAUACGAUUUCUGCUAUUAGGUUAUAUUUUCCGCUGCAUAGUUGAUAGAUGUUAUA
Alnus glutinosa is the source of this 645-nucleotide long non-coding RNA. RefSeq lists it as uncharacterized. Lineage: Eukaryota; Viridiplantae; Streptophyta; Magnoliopsida; Fagales; Betulaceae. The record is from RefSeq and is a predicted model, not a curated record. The transcript is spliced from 4 exons.